GUGCUUGCUUCAGCACCACAUAUACUAAAAUCGGAGUGAUACAGAGAAGAUUAGCGUGGCCCCUGUGCAGAGAUGACUUGCAAAUUCAUGAAGAGUUCUGUACUUUU
Small nuclear RNA from Otolemur garnettii (small-eared galago), 107 nucleotides. Lineage: Eukaryota; Metazoa; Chordata; Mammalia; Primates; Galagidae. The record is from Ensembl.